Molecule: ribosomal RNA, 441 nt
Filed under: uncultured bacterium
Lineage: Bacteria
Description: partial 16S ribosomal RNA
Rfam family: Bacterial small subunit ribosomal RNA
Source: RNAcentral
CCUACGGGAGGCAGCAGUGGGGGAUAUUGCACAAUGGGGGGAACCCUGAUGCAGCGACGCCGCGUGGGUGAAGGAGUGCUUCGGCAUGUAAAGCCCUAUCGGCAGGGAAGAAGCAAGACGGUACCUGACUAAGAAGCCCCGGCUAACUACGUGCCAGCAGCCGCGGUAAUACGUAGGGGGCGAGCGUUAUCCGGAUUCACUGGGGGUAAAGGGAGCGUAGACGGCAGGGCAAGUCUGGAGUGAAAGGCGGGGGCUCAACCCCCGGACUGCUCUGGAAACUGCCAGGCUGGAGUGCAGGAGAGGUAAGUGGAAUGCGUAGUGUAGCGGUGAAAUGCGUAGAUAUUAGGAGGAACACCAGUGGCGAAGGCGGCUUACUGGACUGUAACUGACGUUGAGGCACGAAAGCGUGGGGAGCAAACAGGAUUAGAUACCCGAGUAGUC